This 498-nucleotide ribosomal RNA is filed under the name uncultured bacterium. Its description in RNAcentral is "partial 16S ribosomal RNA". It matches the Rfam family "Bacterial small subunit ribosomal RNA", at positions 30 to 523 of the family's 1533-position model. The record is from RNAcentral.
AUUGAACGCUGGCGGCAUGCCUUACACAUGCAAGGCGAACGGCAGCACGGGGCAACCUGGUGGCGAGUGGCGAACGGGUGAGUAAUGCAUCGGAACGUACCUUUCAGUGGGGGAUAACGUAGCGAAAGUUACGCUAAUACCGCAUAUUCUGUGAGCAGGAAAGCAGGGGAUCGCAAGACCUUGCGCUGAUUGAGCGGCCGAUGUCAGAUUAGCUAGUUGGUGAGGUAAAGGCUCACCAAGGCGACGAUCUGUAGCGGGUCUGAGAGGAUGAUCCGCCACACUGGAACUGAGACACGGUCCAGACUCCUACGGGAGGCAGCAGUGGGGAAUUUUGGACAAUGGGCGCAAGCCUGAUCCAGCCAUGCCGCGUGAGUGAAGAAGGCCUUCGGGUUGUAAAGCUCUUUCGGCCGGGAAGAAAUCGGUGAGGCUAAUAUCCUCACUGGAUGACGGUACCGGAAUAAGAAGCACCGGCUAACUACGUGCCAGCCGCCGCCGUAA